RNAcentral lists this ribosomal RNA (253 nucleotides) under uncultured bacterium. Its description in RNAcentral is "partial 16S ribosomal RNA". It matches the Rfam family "Bacterial small subunit ribosomal RNA", at positions 524 to 776 of the family's 1533-position model. The record is from RNAcentral.
UACGUAGGGUGCGAGCGUUGUCCGGAAUUAUUGGGCGUAAAGAGCUCGUAGGCGGUUUGUCGCGUCGACUGUGAAAACCCGAGGCUUAACCUCGGGCCUGCAGUCGAUACGGGCAGACUAGAGUUCGGUAGGGGAGACUGGAAUUCCUGGUGUAGCGGUGAAAUGCGCAGAUAUCAGGAGGAACACCGAUGGCGAAGGCAGUGAUCUGGGCCGGUACUGACGCUGAGGAGCGAAAGCGUGGGUAGCAAACAGG